Molecule: ribosomal RNA, 433 nt
Filed under: uncultured bacterium
Lineage: Bacteria
Description: partial 16S ribosomal RNA
Rfam family: Bacterial small subunit ribosomal RNA
Source: RNAcentral
AACGAACGCUGGCGGCAUGUCUAACACAUGCAAGUCGAACGAGACCUUCGGGUCUAGUGGCGCACGGGUGCGUAACGCGGGGGAACCUGCCCUUAGGUUCGGAAUAACUCCCCGAAAGGGGUGCUAAUACCGGAUAAUGUCUUCGGACCAAAGAUUUAUCGCCUUUGGAUGGGCCGGCGUUGGAUUAGCUGGUUGGUAGGGUAAAAGCCUACCAAGGCGACGAUCCAUAGCUGGUCUGAGAGGAUGAUCAGCCACACUGGGACUGAGACACGGCCCAGACUCCUACGGGAGGCAGCAGUGGGGAAUAUUGGACAAGGGGCGAAAGCCUGAUCAAGCAAUGCCGCGUGAGUGAUGAAGGCCUUAGGGUUGUAAAGCUCUUUUACCCGGGAUGAUAAUGACAGUACCGGGAGAAUAAGCUCCGGCUAACUCCGUG